Molecule: non-coding RNA, 130 nt
Organism: Gossypium raimondii (Peruvian cotton)
Lineage: Eukaryota; Viridiplantae; Streptophyta; Magnoliopsida; Malvales; Malvaceae
Source: Rfam
UAUUAAAAAUUCCAUCAAUUUCUAUUAUUAAAAACUGACAUGGACAAGUUACAUGUGGCGUGCCACGUGUACCUUAUUUUGAUGUAUAUAGACCAAUUUUUAAUAGUAAAAAUGGAUGAAAUGUUUAACA